RNAcentral lists this long non-coding RNA (690 nucleotides) under Anas platyrhynchos platyrhynchos (common mallard). RNAcentral describes it as "lncRNA (ENSAPLG00000030340.1)". Lineage: Eukaryota; Metazoa; Chordata; Aves; Anseriformes; Anatidae. The record is from RNAcentral.
UGACAACUUAAAGCGAGACAUAUUGUUCAAAAGGUACAAUAAGAAGGACUAAAAUCUCCUUUCUUACUAUUGCUGAAAACACAAAGACCUACAGCUGUUCAUAUUCAGGUACUUAUUACACAUUAAAAGCUCUUAUGUUACACAGAUAUUUGAAUUGACUUUAUGACUUUAAAUGAAAGAAUGUACAAUUUGAAAUAGGUUCUACAGUAAUCCGUACCCAGAUGCUUAUACGGAGUUCAGUUUCAAUGUGAUGCACACAAGGGAAAGUAAUUUCUGUCUUAGAAUCUCUUCGGUCACUCAGGUGCAAGUUUUGAUUGCUUAAACGAAUGUAUUAAAACAAUAAUAUUUUGUGUUCUUUGCCAAAAUUCAUUUCUAUAAUGUGUCAUAAACAUCAUUACAUUUUUGUACAUUUAUACAUAAUGAAGUAGUUAUGCAAGUUUCUGAGCCAGACUGAUAUAUAGAGAGCUAAAUUUCACCCUUGAGUAAGUGAAUCAGAAGGGAGAGAUGAACAUAAGUGAAGUGAAAAAGGAGUAUGAAUAGACUAUUAAGAAAAAACUAGAAAUGGGGUUACUGAAUCUAAUUUUCAUUGAAAAGUUAAGAAGUGAAGUUAGGUAGGCAAAAUUCCAAGCACACUCCAGGAGCAUUGAGCUGAUUUAUUGAGCUGAGAGGUAAAUAUUCGGGAAGCCAAAG